This 11149-nucleotide long non-coding RNA is filed under the name Daucus carota (carrot). RNAcentral describes it as "long non-coding RNA (DCAR_LNC006044)". The record is from RNAcentral. Lineage: Eukaryota; Viridiplantae; Streptophyta; Magnoliopsida; Apiales; Apiaceae.
UUGGAUGAGAUGAAUAAGGGAAAUUAUUAGGGUUUGGUUUAGUGGAGAAGCGAGAAAGCGAAUACAAAUCAAAGCAACAAGUGAAAUUACCAGAAGAAUGUGCAAGUAGUAACUGAGAUUUCAAUGGACAGAAGGUCCUCAUCAGUCUCUUCAUCAUCAUCUUUGAAUUUCUCUCUUUCACUGUCUGCUCUUUAUCUACAAACUCUGCUCUUCUUGUAAAUUGUAAUGUUGUGUAUUUUCUGUUUCACUGCGAUUGUGUGCUUCAAUGUUAAAAUUCUCUGUAAUUUUGUAUCACCAUCCGAAUCUGAAACCGGAGAAUAAUAUAAUUAUAUAUAUAUAUAAUUUUAUAUAUUACAUGUCGUAUUAAAUUAUAUAACACAAUUAUAUAUUAUUUUAUAUACUGGAGAUUAUACAAUAUACAUAUUAUUGUAUAAUUAGAAUAUGUAUUUUUCUUAAAGUUAAAAAUUGGCUAAUAAUAAACUUUAACAAAAUUAAAUUAUUGUAUAAUUCAAAUGGUUGAUACAGUGAACUAAAAUUUUCUAGAAACAAAUAUUGUUAAUUGAUUUGAUUAAUAAAAUUUUAGUUAUUCAUUUAUAAACCAAACUGAUAUUGAUUUCGAGUGCUUGUAAUUUUUAUAAUCAUAAAUAAUCAGUAAUUAAAAAUAUUUUCCGAUUUCAGGUUCAGGUUUUAGGUUUUAGAUAUUCAAUAUAAAAAAAAAAUCAAGUUUCGUGUAUACCCGAAAUCCAAUCCGAAAUUCAUAGGAUUAGGUUCAACUAUUCAUUUUAGAUAUUUUUCGAGUUCAGAUUGAAUCUGGGAUGGAUAAAAAAUUCGGAGUUUGAAUAUGUAUUUUGUCAUACCAUUCCUCAUACUUGAUCCAAUUCAAUAGUCAUCCCUAGUCCAAACAGGUCCAAAACGAUUAUAUUUUAACCGAUUCAAAUAAAAAAUUUCAAUCCUACAUAUACCCGGAUUAAAAGUACACCUAUAAAUUUUGAUUUUCUCAAACUGACCCAAUCUAAAAUGUCCGAUUAAAAUUGGAAUAGUUAAAAAUCAAUACUAUAACUAAAAAAAACACCAAAUGAUAUACAUAUGUCAGCUUCUCCUUCAAUUGCUAACAUCAUCUUUCACUUAUUAUUUGAUUAAUUAAUUAAUUAAUUAAUUAAUUUGUUUUCUCUUUCUCAUUAAUUACAAUCUCCACUUAUUCCCUCUCAUACUCAUUUCUCACCUACUUCAUCAUUUUUCUUUAACUAAAAGUUAAAAUAAUUUUUCUUCCAUUCUCAUUUCUCAACUAUUUUUAGAUCUUAAUUUAAUUUUUUUUUAAAAUGCUUAUCGAUUAUUUUAUAUUUUUAAUUCAAAAAAAAUCAUAAUCACGAAUAUUCAAAUAUUUUAGUUAUCACUUUAAUUUUUUGUUUAAAAUUAUUUAAUUUGAAAUAUACUCCAUCCACUCUAUUAAAACUUACAUAACUUAUAAUAUAUAAAUAUAAUCAGGUUAUAUAAAGUAUGAGAAAAACAUUAUUAAAAAUUAUAUUUAAUUUAACUCUCAUAUUUAAUUUUAACACUUUUAAAAUUAUACAUAAAUAUUAACUUGUAGUCAAACUUGAAUUUAAACAUCGCAUAGGUUAUGAAUCAGACAGGAAACUCAUUCCAUAACCUUAGUUUCAGCUUGUGUUUUUACUUUUCAGUUUCGGACUUUCUUUUUUCAUUUUGUAAUAUGAAGAAAAUAAUAAUAACAUGACAGCAAUCCAAUCCAACCCACAGGUUCAUUUGCCUCCCUUUCCAGUAAUCCACAUUCUGAUACUAUUCCAGAGCAUCCAUCUUUCCGGAUUAAUAAAUACUAUAAAAGAUGGAAUAAAGUUUUUCUCAAAAGUAGGGACAAUUUGGAGAGAGAAUGUCAAUAGUACGAUUUUCCACGUGACACGAAAAUUAAACGAAAAUUUAGUGUUUGUGUUUUCAUUUUGAGUACACGGCACAAAAAAUACUAGAACACUAAGUACACGACUGACGUGUAAUGUCGGUUUUGUGUUUGCCCUUUGAGUACACGACACGAGUUACACGAAAUAAAUAUAAUUUAUAAUUAAAUAUUAAUAUUUAAUUAUAAAUAUGUAUAAUUAUAAUAAAUAAUUAAAUAUAUGUUAUUUUCUUUUAAAAUAAUGGAUAGUUUAUAAUAUUGUAAGUAUAAGUGACUCAAAUGUAUAUAUUUCAUAUAAUUUUGUAAAAUUUUUACCUAGAAAUCUAAUACUUACAUUAUUUUAUAUAUUUAUUUAUAUUUAUUAAAUAUUUCAGUUCAACUUUACACGAAACACGAUGAGAACGACCCGGAAACGGAGUUACACAACACGAAAAUACAUGAACACUGAAUGGUCGGUGGUCGGUUUUGUGUUUGGUUUCUAAGUACACGACACCGAAGUAUACUAUACGAACGGAUCGUCGGGUCUAGAAAAGAGUGCUUCGCUUUUUGACCUAUAAAUUCAGGCUCGCUUAAAAAAACUAAUACAAUGGUUAACAUGAUGCAUGGGACACCAAAAUAAGACACUCAACUUGACGUUUAUGAUAUGUUAAUGUACUGUAGUUUGGCUAUACACCUCUGUACCCAUUGCACACCUUGCUGCGUACACAGAAUAUCAAGUCUUCCAUUUGAAUUUCGGAAAGAAAAAUGUUUCAUCAGUACCAAGCACACAUCUGAAGACUUUUGAAACAGAAUAUUGCUAUAUAUACAGAAACAUUCUAAACAAUAGAAAAUCUACUAACCUGCCUCUGUCAUUGUGUCGCUCAUUGAGACAAGAUGACUAUUGGUUUCCAGUUGGUCAUGGUAUUACCAAUAUUCAUGGCUUUGUCAUUCUUUGGCAUGUAUGAGGCCAGGGCUGGCCGGCUUCUUAUGAAUGCACCGUUCCAGCUUCCCGCCAUCCCCAACUUCCCGUUCCCUCCUUCCCUGGGAUCCCAGGUAAACUUUUUCUUCAUUAUAUGUUUAAUUGGUUCCGGAGAUGAGCUUCAUAUUUACCUAUACGGUUAAUGGUGCUCUCUCGUCCUCAAACUUAUUAUUGUCAUGCACUGUAACCCUGGAAGUUAUGAUCACGGCAUUUUCUUUGGUUACUUUGUCAAUGACCUGUGAAGGGGUUCAUAACCUUAACAUUUCUUCUGAAUGUCAGUGGUACUAAUGCCAUUGCUAGGUGUAAGGUGUUGCCAACUUAGGAGGAUAAAUAUGUUAAUUUUGAACUACAUGGACAAAAUAUUAGCAUGUUAUAGACUCAGAGGACGGGAGGUGUUAUAUAUCUUCUGAUUAUAAAUCUCUGCUUAACAGCAUAAACACGUAUUAUAAUAUAAUAGUAAAGCAAGUUAUUUCAGCUUUUAUUUUACCCUCGAAAAUUAUCCUCUGGACAAUGUAGUUCUAGAUCAUUAUUUUCUAGAUGUAAAAGCUAACAGCACCACUCGCAUAUUGUCCUGCUUUACUGUUCGUGUGUAUGGUAGAACUCUCAAGUUUUGAGGGAUUCACAAAGUAGUGGAGAAUAGCAUGACAACGAGUCAACGACAUAUGUGGGUGAAAAUUCUUUACUAUUGAUAUUCAUAAUCACUAUGGGUUGCAUUCUGUUAUUGAAAGAAAGUUAUCCAGUUAGGCUACGAUGUUAAGGAUGAUUGUGAAGUCAGGGGAACACACAAAUUUACUACUCAAGAAAGUUCGAUUCAAAUUUUUUAUAAUCCACUCUAGAAAUAUUUCAAGGUGUUUUAUGAUGACUUACAAACAAAUGCAGUGGUUUAUUAUGUCGAUUGGGACUUCAACACAAAAGAUUGGCCUUCUGGGAAACCCUUUCACGCAGGUGACAUAAUCGGUAAGCCAGCAAUAAUCUGUUAAAUCAUGGAAUUUAACACCAUUGUUGCAUAUCAACAUAAAAAUCAUCUUCACUUUAACUGAUCAAAUUUUUACAUUUUUUUGAUUGGUUUUCAUUUGCAGUAUUUAACUACAAUAGAAAUCUGCAUAAUGUGGUUACAAUAAAUGAGACCAAAUAUGAAGAUUACCUGAACUGUGUUGUAUCUGACAAGGCAAACAUCCUGAGCACCGGAAAAUGGAAAUGAUGCAAUAACGCUGCAAAAUGGAGUCAACUACUUCAUUUGUGGUACAAUGGGCCACUGUACUGCUGGAAUGCAGAUAGCUAUUGUUACGACCUAAUUAACUUUAAGCUAAUAGCAGAUUAUUGUAAUCCAUGUGAUGCUAAUUGUAAUUAUAAGAACAAUAUGCUUGAUAUAAUAUCUACAUUAAGUUUACUUACUUCAAACUUUGGUCAUUGUCUACGUUAAAAUAUGUUGGUGAUAACGCAAGAAAAUGUGUUCAAUAUUAUACCAUGAGCCAACAAUUUCUUACAUUCUACUUUUUGGCAAUCAUUAUUCUUAUCUGGCAAGAACAACUUAAACAAGGGAAAAAAAACAAAAAUCGAUAAUGUACCUCUAUCGAUUAGGCUUCUUUAAAUGGAAGCCGAGAUGCAUCUUUGAAGAACCGGUAAAAACUAAAAACUUUGGGCUAAAAUGAAUAGAAAUGCUUCACUGUACUUCUUAGUUUGAAUACCUUCACAUUCGAGUAUAAUGUGGGUCAUUAUCUGGCAAGCAAUCAUUUCAGCUUCAACUCCUCCAAACAGGGCAUUAUUUCGUCAAACCUUCUCGACAAAUCCUUACAUCAGCAUUGUGUAUGUCCUGUUUUUGCAGUCGUUGAAAGUAAGUUAACAUAAAGAUAUUUGGCAUUGUAAACCUCUUCGUUUCCUGCACAACUUGUCAAGCAGGAUAUUAGACAUGAAAAUUUCAGGAAUGAAAUCACUGAAUUGCAUCAACUGAAAGGACAGUGUUUCAUUAACAAAUAAGUACUGCAAAGGCCAUUUUGCAAGAUAUUGCAUGUCAUAGUAUCUAGUAUUGAAACAAAAGGUUUUAAUAGAUAAUAGAUUUCUAAAGUUCAACUUAUUUUACACAUUUAUAUUUUCCAUUCGGACAGCUACCUUGCACCAGCAAGAAAAUUACCCUAAAGGAGCAUAUUAUGGUCAUGAGAUGGACAGCAGUAAUCAAUGCAUUGAGUAAUGAGAUGAUCAGCUGAAAAUCUGACCAAGUGACUAAGAAGACUACACAUAACUCAGGCAGUUACAGUACAACUCUUGAAAAGUCUGAUAGUCUAAUUCAUAUAUGACAGCAAGCGUGAACCAUGCAAAAAAUGAAUUUGUAAGAAUUUGGACAUCAUCAAGCACACCGGUAACUCGGUAAGAUACUGGAGAUCUGGACAAAUCGGAGAAUUGAUUUCUAAUUAUAAUUGUAACUGAUUAUUUUUUCACUUGAGGAAAAAAAAAAUACAAUGGGGUUUCAAUAGAAAUUGAGAGAAUUGAGUAAAUUAUAGUUGCAUUUGCUCAAGUUUUUUUUUACUGUGGUAACAUAAGAUAAGAGCUGCAAUUUCAUUUUUAUUAAAGACCUGGGAUGACUAGUUGAAAAGCUCUACACAACUCUUUCAGGUGUUCACCUGAAAGUGCUAGACAGGGGCCUUGGGAUCUGCUACUGCCAAUUGGCAUGGGAUGAAAAACCUACAGAGUCAGUAUCACUUGAUCUCUCCAUCCAGGUUGUUCAUUGUCAGAAUCUAACAGUAGUAACGAGAGGUUAUAGUGAAGAAGAGUAUAAUACAGAACUAUAUCCUUUGUGGAGGAAAGAAACAGACUAGUAGACACCCUUAGAAAAUUCAAAUAUCACUAAGAGACUCUCAAUUUAGACUUAGAGUCAUAAGUGAAAAGUGAAGGAGGAAUGAUAAAAACAUAUACUACAUUUCUUUCAUUUUUGUGCAGUUUUGACUUUAAAUAUCCAACCUGGCAUCUUAACAUGAGAAAGAGACUAUUAUACUGCAACUUUAGCAAAGUCGGCACUAAUUGGUUUUUGAUAGAACUGGCUACAUCUGGAGAAUGUUGGCAAAUGAAAUAAAUUAUGUACCUUAGCAAUCGCUCCCUUUGUUAUACAUAUCAAUAGCCUUUAACGCAACGGUUCUGGGCAUCUUGCGGUUUGAGCAAGUCCAGUAAGUGGUUGAUGCAUCUGCUGAGAAGUCACGAGAACGCAUCUGAUCCACAUGUACACCUGCACUGUACUUAUUAUAAGAACUACAAAUAUGUGUGUUGUGGGUAACAGCAUCUGGGGAGCAAUCAUUAUCUUCCAUUUCAGCAAAUAGAUCACUGGCUUCAUCAAACAAACCAUCAUGGCACAAUCCUCCUAUCAUCAUUCCAAAAUUUUACUAGCUAAUUAUAUUAUAUAAAAACUAUCUGGAAAAAAAAAUAUAUAUAUAUAUAAACUAACCCCAACAAUUGGUCAUUUCAGUACAUGGAAGAAAAUAUAUUAGUCGGUAGGAGAACAACUGCGAACUUUACAGCAUAUAACAUCUCACAGCAUAGUAGUUGAGCCUGUGCGCACUACAUGCCAUUAUUUUGAUUGUUACUGCCUGCAAAUUUGUUUGCAAACCUUAACAAAUGCUGGCAAAUUCGAAAAAAGUAUGUACCUGGGCACUCUCAUCCUUUGUCACACCUAUGGAAAGUACCUCACAUGCAAGGCGAGUAGAGCAGGAUCCCGUUCUUUCACUUCAAGUAAGUGUAGUAAUGCAGAUGCCGUAGAUGCAUCCGCGACAAAGCGGAGACCAAGCAUUUCAUCUAGGAGUACACCUGCUUCAUAGUACUUCCUAUUCUGUAAGCAACCGUGGAUAAGCAUGUAGUAUGUGACAUCACCAAGCUAGCAAUCAUUAGCUUCCAUUUCCCUGAAUAGUUCAUUCGCUUCAUCCAAUAACCCUCCAUGACAAUAUGCUUGGAUCAUCACUGUGUAUGUCUUGACAUUAGGUCGCAAACCUUUCGCAGGAAGGUUGUUAAAAAGAGUUCUUGCUGCUUCAAGUUGUCCUUUUUUGCUUAAUCCAUCAAUCAGAAUGGCAAAUGCAUAAAGCAGGAACUAACCCACUGCAUUCCAUCAUUUGAAGAAAGGACAGUGCUUCAAGAACCAUGGUUGUCACGUCGAUGAGUCGAGGCGAGUCGAUGGACCUCCGUCUAAUCGACUAGUCGACUAGUCGUUGACAAGUCGUAGACUAGUUGACAAAAAAAAUAUUAUUAUAAAUUAAAAAUUAUAUAUAUAUAUAGACACACACACACACACGCACACAUAUAUAUAUAUCGUGUAAAUUGGAUUUUUUAGUUCUAACACCUUCCACAAUGUUUUACAGUAUUUCAGAUUCUAAGGAAUUAAGAAUCGGAAACUUAAAGAGAAUGAUGGAAAAGCGAAAAGAGUUAACAAAUAACAAUAAAACAAAGUAAAAUAUGUAACAACUGAUAUAUAACAAUUGUGUGAUACUGUGAUGUGAUGUGGUAGUGCAGCAAGUAAGCAACAAAUAUGCGCAGAAAUAAUAUAUACAAAGUUAUGCACAACUUAUUGUGCAGAUUGCAGAAAAACAGAGCAGAAAAUAUAAUCAGAGAAAACCAAAGCAGGAUAUUUAGCAGCUCGACUAGUCGACUAGUUGGUCGUCGACUAGUCGACUAGUCGACCGAAAUAUCAACAUUCAGCUAGUCGACAAGUUGAGUCGACAUCCAUUCACCGCUUAGUCGACUAGUCGUCGACUAGUCGAGACUAGUCGACCGACAUGACAACCAUGUCAAGAACAUAAACGUUCUCGCAAAGACCAGGACUAAUUGAGGCUUUUUAGUAUUAGUAAAAGAUACCAAGCUAAUUGAGGCUUCUUGUGGAUAAAUUUGUAUAGGUAUAUAAUAUAUGUUAAUUUCUGGAGACAUGAUGGACCAAGGCUCUGACAAAAGAAAGACCAAGCCAACUAAUGCAAUUGCAAAAAAUUUAAUAUUCAACAAAAUAAUAUCAAAUUGACUCCAACCAACCGUAAUCAUAUUAUGUUGAGAGAUAUAACUAAACUAAAUACAAACAAAGAGGAAUUGCCAAAACUUAAAACAGUGGCAUUUGACAUAAUACUAAUACAGCUAGUCACCAAUAGAUACCAAUAUGAUUUAACUCCAAAUUUGUGGAAGAACCUUUAAAACUAUCUUGUACCUUAACAAACUCUCUCCUUGCUUACACUUGGGGAAAGAACUUCCUAUGCAAAGCAUGGAGAACUGGGUCCUGUUUUUCUGAUCUGAGUAGGUCCAUUGGCAUGUAGGUGGUAGAGGUAUCUGCCGAUAUACUACUUCAACUCGGUCGCAGCUGUUUAAAUAGAAAAGACAGCAAUCCUGAAUAUACUUGCAUCAAAGCUACCUCUUUUAAAUGAGCGCUCCGUCCGGAUCCAGUCCAAUCAUAAAAGCAAAUUAUAUACAGAGGAAAUAAUCAAAAAGGCACUUAAAUAUAUUUGUAAACACCAGCACACCACAUUUGCACUCAUUAAGAAAAUACUCUUUGAUUUUCUCGAUAAAUCACCAGAGCAACAUGAAGAGGAACAGAAGAACUCUCUGAAAUAGAAUUGAACAAUAUUUCAUGGGACAAGUUUCAUCCAAGAGUAGUUGUUAAAUACCAAAUUUAAUAGCACAUGAGAUUCAUGGCAUGUUAUCUCAUACAAAUCAACAGUUACAACACAUAUGUUAAGUAAUCUAAUAGAUGUAUAAUUGAUCCAUAAAUAAUUAAUGUUCAUCACUUAAAACAGAAAAAAAAUAACCAUGGCAAGAACCUCAUACACAAAGCAAGCAAAUUUUGAUCCUGUUCCCACCAUUCAAGCAAGUCCAGUAACAUGGAGGUCUUAGAAGCAUAUAUUCUGAGAAGCCGCGACCACAUAUCUCUUCUUUAAGUACAAUUGCCCCGUUGUGCAAAAACCACAGAUAAGGGUGAUGGAGGUAGCAUCAUUUGGGAAGCAAUCAUUUCUUCCAUUUCCACAUAUGGUUCAUUUGCUUUAUUGAGUAAGCCUUCUUGACAAAAUACCUGUAUCAUCAUUGUGUAUGUCUUCACAGUAGGUCGCAAAAAUAUUUUCAAGGAAGGCUGUCAAAUAUACUUCUUGCCUUUCCAAAAUUUCUCAUCUAUUAGAUAUUGGGCCAUUAACAAAGAAACCAAAGAAAAUUUUUGAACUUAACUGAGUCGAGGGACUCCAAAGAGUAGCUUAACUUAUUGUUGUAUUUCCUCGGAGUGAUGAUUACAGACAAUAAAAAAAUCGAAAAAACUGGAUGCGUAAACAACAAAGGACCAGUAGGAGAACUGCAAAUUUUACAACACUUAUAUCGAACUAAUCCUAGCAAACUCGAAAAGAUUAUGUACCUGGGCACUCUCUUCCUUUCAAACACUUAAGGAUCGGAGAGUACUUAUCACGCAAGGCAAGGAGAGGAGGAUCCGGUUCUUGCACUUCAAGUAAGUCCAGUAAUGCAGAUGCUGUAGAUGCAUCUGCUGCAAAGCUGUGGCCAAGCAUUUCAUCUAGGAAUACACCUGCUUCAUAGUACUUCUUAUUCUGUAAACAACCACGGAUAAGCAUGUUGUAUGUGACAUCAGUAGGCAAGCAAUCAUUAGCUUCCAUUUCCCUGAAUAGUUCAGUCGCUUCAUUCAAUAACCCUCCAUGAAAAUAUGCUUGGAUCAUCAAUGUGUAUGUCUUGACAUUAGGUCGCAGACCUUUCGCAGGAAGGUUGCUAAAAAGAGUUCUUGCUGCUUCAAGUUGUCCGUUUUUGCUUAAUCCAUCAAUCAGAAUGGUGUAAAUAUAUAUAUCAGGAACUAGCCCACUGCAUUCCAUCAUUUGGAAAAAGGACAGUGCUUCACGAACAUAACCAUUCUUGCAAAGACCAUCCAAUAAAAUUGCGCAAGUCACUUUAUUCAACUGAAGACCUUUGUUAAGCAUCAUCUUUUCCUUAAAAAAUUUACGUGCUUCAACAUGUCUACCCGCACGAAAAAAACCUUGCAUUAUAGUAUUGUAAGUCUCAGUAUUUGGGGUUAAACAUUCAGAGGACAUUUGUUGAAAAAGAUCUAUUGCUAUGUCCACUUUCAACUUUUUACAAUAACCAUUGAUGAGAGUAUUAUAGCUAAGUGUAUCAGGCAAUAUUGCCUUUCUCUUCAUGCUUUCGAACACUGCUAAUGUUUUAUCAACCUCUCCCCUCAAGCAGUAUCCAUCCAUUAGUGCAUUAUAUGUUACUACAUCAGGAUAAUGGCCUCUUUGAAUCAUCAACUGUAUCACAUCCUCUGCAUCUUCAAUCAUUCCUUCUUUGCAAUACGCAUCAACCAAUAUGCUGUAAGUAAAAACAUCUCGAGAAAUGUUCCUAACAUCCAUCUCCUUGAGCAAUAAUUUGACAUCAUGCCAUCGAUUAAUGUCACACAGUCCUUGAAUUAACGAGCUGUAGGUUAUAACAUUUGGGGAUAUGCCUUUCCUUGUCAUUCGGUGGAGAAGACCCAAUGCUUGAUCAACUAAUCCAUGUUUACAUAAACAGUCAAUAAUUGUGGUGUAAGUGAUCGUAUUAGGCCUGCAACCUUUCUUCUCCAUAAUUUUAAACAACUUAACAGCCACAGAAGGAUUCCCUCUCUUGCAGAUGCCGUCAAUGAUAGUUGUAUAGGUAACAACAUUGGGUUGAAUAAGUUUAAAUCUAAUGAGGUUCUGGAACAAAAGCUGAGCCUCAUGAGGCAUAUCUUGGGAAAUAAGGCCCCUGAUGAGAGUGGUAUAAGUAAACACAUCAGGGACAAAACCAUGCUUGAUGAUUCCAGCCAAUAGUGAAAAGGCAAAAUCAACACGAUUCAAGUGACAAAAGCAGUUAAUGAGAGUAUUGAAGGUAAUUACAUUAACAGGGAUGCUUUCUACACGCAUCUUUCUAAAAAGGGAGACAGCUACGGAGUACUCUUUCAUCUUAAUCACAGCGGCUAAGAGUUGAUUAAAUUUAAGAACGGGAAGCAGAGGCUUCAUAAGGAGCAUUUUAUCAAACACUUGGAGACCAUCAUCGAGUUUAUCGAAACCAACCUUGGACUUCUCAAGGAGUAGAUGUUGAAGUCGAGCAUGAGUUGGAUGAGAUGAAUAAGGGAAAUUAUUAGGGUUUGAUUUAGUGGAGAAGCGACAAAGCGAAUACAAAUCAAAGCAACUAGUGAAAUUACCAGAAGAAUGUGCAAGUAGUAACUGAGAUUUCAAUGGACACAAGGCCCUCAUCAGUCUCUUCAUCAUCAUCUUUGAAUUUCUCUACUUCACUGUCCGCUCUGUAUCUACAAACUCUGAUCUUGUUGUAAU